Molecule: long non-coding RNA, 493 nt
Filed under: Zea mays
Lineage: Eukaryota; Viridiplantae; Streptophyta; Magnoliopsida; Poales; Poaceae
Description: long non-coding RNA (ZMAY_LNC004547)
Source: RNAcentral
ACAACUUAGGAAGCUUACGAAUCUUUCUCUAGUUUUCUAUGUGUUCUGUUGAUAUCUCAGUGCAACUUUUCUACAGCACUCACCUAUACGACAAUCUUGCGGCAUCUUGAAGUUAACAAAUCCUGCUCGAGUUUCCAAUGUGGUCUAUAACUUGUUUUGUGCAACUUGGUUUACAGGUUAGGAGCCAGCCCUUCAGAUCUUCGGAGUUUCGAUAUUGAUAACCAUAUAGCCGUGUGAGGUUGAAAGGUUCUAAACCUUUUGCGAUUGAGGAGAAUGGUUUUGGCAUACAACAGGCGCGCGCGCACACACCAUUGGAGCCUUGUUUGGCGCCUCCCUGCACAUUGGAACAGAUUUAAAGUAGGUGCUGGAACUGUAAAUGAUUCGGUAUCAAAAAGGCUGGUUUAGCCAUUUUAGGAGAUUAUGCGUUUCGAUUUCAUGGGAGUUGGGAGGACAGAAUUGUAUCAUAGUGCAGUAACUCUUGGUUGUAGGAUUG